CGCCCUGACCCGAGCUGUCCGGCCUCACCGCGGUUCCCCGCGCACCUGCUCGCCCCUGCGGCAGGACCCAUGAAAGGAGCCGGACGGGCACUUCUAGUAGUUAUCGGGUUCCAGAUGCCACAGCACGAAGUGGGAACUCAGGAAGGAAGUUCACGGCAUUUGGCUUGAUCAGUGCGAAUCUUGACUAACGCUGGAAUCUUCCCCGUGGGCAGGUGGAAAGAGGGGCGUCAGAUGUAUCUGAAGAGAGAACCCUGGAAUCACUGGCACCACGGAUGGGGAAAGGUUUUAGUUGUGGCAUAAGGCAUCUAGUUCCCUGAACAGGGAUGGAACCCAGGACCCCUGCAUUGUGAGCAUGGAGUCUCAGCCACUGGACCACCCGGGAAGUCCCAGAAAGGAAGUUAAUUUCUUGUGAGCCAGGAUCACUGAUGAACUUCGGGUGUCUCAGAGAAAAUGAGAUUUCAUCCACACUGAAAGGCCCUAUCAGCAAAGCUCUGAGAAGGUGGUGCUGUUUGCUACGUUGUCAGGCAUGAGACUUUAUGGCAACCACCACUGAAACCACUUCGAAGCCACUUCUGUGUCAGGAACUUCACCUUUUUUUACGCUGCUUCUCCAAAGCCAGUUGCUUUUCUUGUCACCUUUGCCAGUGAAAUGAAUGGAGGGGAGAUUCCCAUUUCCUCCUGUUGCUUAACUGUGGAUUGAAGUCUCAGGUGCUUGAAUUUGAUUUAUUAAAAAAAAAUUUAUUUAUUUA
This is a long non-coding RNA of Cervus elaphus (red deer), 748 nucleotides long. RefSeq lists it as uncharacterized. The record is from RefSeq and is a predicted model, not a curated record. The transcript is spliced from 3 exons. NCBI's taxonomy places the organism in Eukaryota, Metazoa, Chordata, Mammalia, Artiodactyla, Cervidae.